CCCAGAGGUAUUGAUGGGUGAACAUCAAUAGAUUUUCUUGAUUACACCAACCUGCGCAGAUGCGCAGGUUUUUUUU
This is a non-coding RNA of Pantoea vagans C9-1, 76 nucleotides long. The record is from Rfam. NCBI's taxonomy places the organism in Bacteria, Pseudomonadati, Pseudomonadota, Gammaproteobacteria, Enterobacterales, Erwiniaceae.